CGUUCCCGGGUCUUGUACACACCGCCCGUCACACCACGAAAGCGGGGGAACACCUGAAGCCGGGUAGUGAACCUUCGGGACACGCCUGUCGAGGGUGGGCUUCGUGAUUGGGGUG
This 115-nucleotide ribosomal RNA is filed under the name uncultured bacterium. RNAcentral's name for it is "partial 16S ribosomal RNA". It matches the Rfam family "Bacterial small subunit ribosomal RNA", at positions 1369 to 1482 of the family's 1533-position model. The record is from RNAcentral.